CUACCAUGGCGAUAACGGGUAACGGGGAAUUAGGGUUCGACUCCGGAGAGGGAGCCUGAGAAACGGCUACCACAUCUAAGGAAGGCAGCAGGCGCGUAAAUUACCCAAUCCUGAUUCAGGGAGGUAGUGACAAGAAAUAACAACCCAGGGACUUUACGUCUUUUGGGAUUGCAAUGAGAACAAUCUAACAGACAUUAACGAGGAACAAUUGGAGGGCAAGUCUGGUGCCAGCAGCCGCGGUAAUUCCAGCUCCAAUAGCGUAUAUUAAAGUUGUUGCAGUUAAAAAGCUCGUAGUUGAACUUCUGAGGUGAUUAGGCAUUCUUAAAUGAGUGCCGGUUGCCUCAUCCGUCAGAAAAUCAAGAAGGGUCUUAAGUGAUCGUCUUGAGGAUCUGACAUUUUACUUUGAAAAAACUAGAGUGUUCAAGGCAGGCAAUGGCCAUGAAUACACAAGCAUGGAAUAAUAGAAUAUGACUGAGUCAAUUUUGCUGGUUAUUUGACACAGUAAUGAUUAAAAGGGACAGUUGGGGGCAUUAGUAUUUAAUAGUCAGAGGUGAAAUUCUUGGAUUUAUUAAAGACUAACUUAUGCGAAAGCAUUUGCCAAGGAUGUUUUCAUUAAUCAA
This 620-nucleotide ribosomal RNA is filed under the name Ciliophora sp. Its description in RNAcentral is "SSU rRNA". It matches the Rfam family "Eukaryotic small subunit ribosomal RNA", at positions 341 to 980 of the family's 1831-position model. Lineage: Eukaryota; Ciliophora. The record is from RNAcentral.